This 498-nucleotide ribosomal RNA is filed under the name uncultured bacterium. RNAcentral's name for it is "partial 16S ribosomal RNA". It matches the Rfam family "Bacterial small subunit ribosomal RNA", at positions 28 to 523 of the family's 1533-position model. The record is from RNAcentral.
GACGAACGCUGGCGGCGUGCCUAACACAUGCAAGUCGAGCGGAGAUGAUGUGAGGAAGUUUUCGGAUGGAAUCACAUUAUUUUAGCGGCGGACGGGUGAGUAACGCGUGAGCGACCAACCUUGCACAGGGGGAUAACGGACCGAAAGGUUCACUAAUACCGCAUGAGACCACGGUGUUGCAUGACACAGAGGUCAAAGGAGCAAUCCGGUGCAAGACGGACUCGCGUCCGAUUAGGGAGUUGGAGGGGUAACGGCCCACCAAGCCUAUGACCGGUAGCCGACCUGAGAGGGUGAUCGGCCACAUUGGAACUGAGAUACGGUCCAAACUCCUACGGGAGGCAGCAGUGGGGAAUAUUGGGCAAUGGGGGAAACCCUGACCCAGCAACGCCGCGUGAAGGAAGAAGGUUUUCGGAUUGUAAACUUCUGUCCUUGGUGAAGAGAAGAAGACGGUAGCCAAGGAGGAAGCCCCGGCUAACUACGUGCCAGCCGCCGCCGUAA